GAAAGUAAGAAAGGGUACACGGGGGAUGCCUUGGCUCUCAGAGGCGAAGAAGGACGUGAUAAGCUGCGAUAAGCCGUGGGGAUCAGCAAAUAUGAAUUGAUCCGCGGAUUUCCGAAUGGGGAAACCUAAUCAUUUGAAGAAUGAUUGCAUAAAUGCGCAAACCCGCUGAACUGAAACAUCUAAGUAAGCGGAGGAAGAGAAAACAAUAGUGAUUUCCUGAGUAGUGGCGAGCGAAAGGGAAGAAGCCCAAACCGGUUAUGUUACGGCAUAACCGGGGUUGUAGGACCAUAACAUGACUAAUAGAUAGAAACUGAACGGUGUGGGAAAGCCGGCCAAAGAGCAUGAGAGCUGCGUAAGUGUAAUAGCUAUUAAGAUAGUGGUAUCCUGAGUACCGCGAGGUCGGAGACGCCUUGUGGGAAUCUGCCAGCACCAUCUGGUAAGGCUAAAUACUCCUGAGAGACCGAUAGUGAACCAGUACCGUGAGGGAAAGGUGAAAAGAACCCCGAACAGGGGAGUGAAAUAGAACCUGAAACCGUGUACUUACAAGCGGUCGGAGCAUGAAAGUGUGACGGCGUGCCUUUUGCAUAAUGAGCCUACGAGUUACUCCUCUCUGGCAAGGUUAAGUGGUUCAGCCACGCAGCCGAAGCGAAAGCGAGUCUGAAUAGGGCGUGCAGUCAGAGGGGGUAGACGCGAAACCUUGUGAUCUACCCAUGGACAGGUUGAAGGUGCCGUAACAGGUACUGGAGGACCGAACCGAUAAACGUUGAAAAGUUUCCGGAUGAUCUGUGGGUAGGGGUGAAAGGCUAAUCAAACUGGGAAAUAGCUCGUACUCCCCGAAAUGUUUUUAGGAACAGCCUGGCGGUUGAGUUAUAUAGAGGUAGAGCUACUAAUUGGGUGCGGGGGAGUCAAAUCCUACCAAAUCCAGAUAAACUCCGAAUGCUAUAUAAUAUACGCUGGAGUGAGGCUCUGGGUGCUAAGGUCCAGGGCCGAGAGGGAAAGAACCCAGACCAUCAGCUAAGGUCCCUAAAUUACCACUAAGUUGAACUAACGAGGUCCGAUUGCACAGACAGCUAGGAUGUUGGCUUGGAAGCAGCCAUUCAUUUAAAGAGUGCGUAACAGCUCACUAGUCGAGCGAUCGGGCAUGGAUAAUAAACGGGCAUCAAGUGGUAUACCGAAGCUAUGGAUUGCAUGUAAAUGCACUGGUAGGGGAGCAUUCUACAGAGGGUGAAGCAGAUGCGUAAGCUACUGUGGACUUUGUAGAAAAGCAAAUGUAGGCAUAAGUAACGAUAAGGCGGGAGAGAAACCCGCCCACCGAAAGACUAAGGUUUCCUGAUCAACGCUAAUCGGAUCAGGGUUAGUCGGGGCCUAAGGUGAAGCCGAAGGGCGUAGCCGAUGGAUAACUGGUUAAUAUUCCAGUACUUUUUAUAACUGCGAUGCGGUGACGGAGUAGUGACACUGACGCGAACUGACGGAAUAGUUCGUUAAAGGCCGUAGGUAUAUGAUGUGUAGGUAAGUCCGCACGUUUUGCUGAAAGCUGAUAGUACCGCAAACCUUCGGGGGCGUGGAUAGUUCAGGUAAUCAGACUUCCAAGAAAACCCGCUAAGCUUCAGGUUAUAAAAACCCGUACCGUAAACCGACACAGGUAGUCGAGGAGAGAAUCCUAAGGUGCUCGAGUGAAUCAUGGCUAAGGAACUCGGCAAAAUGGCCCUGUAACUUCGGGAGAAGGGGCGCUGUCAGCAAUGGCAGCCGCAGUGAAAAGGCCCAGGCGACUGUUUAACAAAAACACAUGGCUUUGCAAAAUCGAAAGAUGACGUAUAAGGCCUGACACCUGCCCGGUGCUGGAAGGUUAAGAGGGGAUGUUAGUCGCAAGGCGAAGCAUUGAAUCGAAGCCCCAGUAAACGGCGGCCGUAACUAUAACGGUCCUAAGGUAGCGAAAUUCCUUGUCGGGUAAGUUCCGACCUGCACGAAUGGUGUAACGAUCUGGGCGCUGUCUCAGCCAUGAGCUCGGUGAAAUUGUGGUAUCGGUGAAGACGCCGGUUACCCGCAACGGGACGGAAAGACCCCAUGCACCUUCACUAUAGCUUAACAUUGACAUCGGGUACAGGAUGUGUAGGAUAGGUGGGAGACUGUGAUCAUGCUUCGCUAGGAGUAUGUUAGUCAACGUUGAAAUACCACCCUUUCUGUAUUUGGUGUCUAACCCGGCACUGUCGGGGACAUUGUUUGGCGGGUAGUUUGACUGGGGUGGUCGCCUCCAAAAAGGUAACGGAG
This 2268-nucleotide ribosomal RNA is filed under the name Craterellus lutescens. RNAcentral describes it as "bacterial LSU rRNA". It matches the Rfam family "Bacterial large subunit ribosomal RNA", at positions 1 to 2305 of the family's 2925-position model. The record is from RNAcentral. Lineage: Eukaryota; Fungi; Basidiomycota; Agaricomycetes; Cantharellales; Hydnaceae.